UUUUGGUGGUAAGCUUAUAAGAAUUUGUUCUACCACCCUUGAUUCAGGAAAGUUCUCCCCCAAUAAUCUCAUUUUAUUCACAAUAUCCGAGAGUUUGGAGGCAUAGUCCCUAACAGACUCAUUUUCCUACAUUCUGAGUAAUGCAAAUUCACUUUUUAACCUCAGUAGCUUGAUCUUCUUGCUUCUGUCUCCUCCAUCAAACUCUUCCUUCAGUUUCUCCCACGCUUCCUUAGGUGAUUCAUAGUUCAUAAUCCUAGAGAAAACCCUGUCCGAAACCGCUGAGAAGAGACAGACAAGUGCUUUUGGUUUCUUGGUCUUCUCUUCCUCAUGUCUUUUAAUCUGGUUCAAUGUAGCAGUUUCUUAUAGUGGGGUUGGUUCG
This 379-nucleotide long non-coding RNA is filed under the name Carica papaya (papaya). Its description in RNAcentral is "long non-coding RNA (CPAP_LNC010416)". Lineage: Eukaryota; Viridiplantae; Streptophyta; Magnoliopsida; Brassicales; Caricaceae. The record is from RNAcentral.